GUUGGUGAUAUCAAUUCACAUCACCACCACAUGUAAACGUGAAUUAAUUGAAUGCCAUUGGUUAGAUGUAGGGUUUAGAAUGAGCCUCAUUGUGAUGUUUGUUAGUUGUAGAAUGUUUGUGGGGGGCUGAGUUAUUAAGGAAGAAGACAUGAGGAAUGGGAGGCACAGAGAACCUCACUGUGGAAGAUGCAAACAUAGAGGGAGAGAAGAAUUUCCUCUCUGUCUAUGGAAGCUUGAGAAAUAGGGAUGAGCUUGCUGUGGGGGCACAGCUGAAUGAUGCAGCAAGUUGAAACUGAAUAAUUGAUUGAAGUUUCUGGAAAUUGAACUUAUGGAAGUUUCGUAAGCAUUCCUAUCAGCACGAAACAG
Molecule: long non-coding RNA, 366 nt
Organism: Neofelis nebulosa (Clouded leopard)
Lineage: Eukaryota; Metazoa; Chordata; Mammalia; Carnivora; Felidae
Exons: 3
Source: RefSeq, a predicted model, not a curated record